UACGGAGGGGGCUAGCGUUGUUCGGAAUUACUGGGCGUAAAGCGCGCGUAGGCGGACCUGCAAGUCGGGGGUGAAAGCCCGAGGCUCAACCUCGGAACUGCCUUCGAUACUGCGGGUCUCGAGUCCGGGAGAGGUGAGUGGAAUUCCUAGUGUAGAGGUGAAAUGCGUAGAUAUCUGGAGGAAUACCGGUGGCGAAGGCGGCAUCCUGGACCGACAUUGACGCUGAUGAGCGAAAGCCAGGGGAGCAAACGGG
This 253-nucleotide ribosomal RNA is filed under the name uncultured bacterium. RNAcentral's name for it is "partial 16S ribosomal RNA". It matches the Rfam family "Bacterial small subunit ribosomal RNA", at positions 524 to 776 of the family's 1533-position model. The record is from RNAcentral.